GGACUCGGAGGGAUCAUUACCGGGAAAGCGCCGCAAGGCCGAACCCAACCCAACCCUUUGUGAACCUUACCCAAGGAAAAACAUGUUGCUUCGGCAGGCGGCCCCGCUGGGGGGGGCCAGCCGCCCGGCGCGCGAUACAGCCGGGCGCCUGCCAGGGGCCCAACAGAAUUGCAUCUCCCAGAGACAGACAUCUCGAGAAAACUUUUAUUGAAAAACCGAUACAACCUUCAACAGGGGAUCUCUUGGUUCCGGCAUCGAUGAAGAACGCAGCGAAAUGCGAUACGUAAUGUGAAUUGCAGAGUACAGUGAACCAUCGAAUCUUUGAACGCACAUUGCGCCCGCCGGCAUUCCGGCGGGCAUGCCUGUCCGAGCGUCGCCUCCACCCUCGAGCCCCCGUCGGCUCGGCGUUGGGGCGCUACGCGAAACCCGCGUACGCCCCCAAAAGCAGUGGCGGGCCCGCCGGCACUCCCGGGCGCAGUAGGAAAGCCGCAAGGCGCCCCCUCGCCCCCGGAGCCGCCGCGGGAACCCCCGGCCAUCAAAAGCCCCAACUUCUCUUACAAGUUGACCUCGGAUCAGGUAGGAAGACCCGCUGAACUUAAGCAUAUCUAAGCGGGGGGAGAGAACCC
Molecule: ribosomal RNA, 626 nt
Filed under: Botryosporium longibrachiatum
Lineage: Eukaryota; Fungi; Ascomycota
Description: eukaryotic LSU rRNA
Rfam family: 5.8S ribosomal RNA (bases 223-376)
Source: RNAcentral